This 253-nucleotide ribosomal RNA is filed under the name uncultured bacterium. RNAcentral's name for it is "partial 16S ribosomal RNA". It matches the Rfam family "Bacterial small subunit ribosomal RNA", at positions 524 to 776 of the family's 1533-position model. The record is from RNAcentral.
UACGUAGGGUGCGAGCGUUGUCCGGAAUUAUUGGGCGUAAAGAGCUCGUAGGCGGUUUGUCGCGUCGACUGUGAAAACCUGGGGCUUAACUCUGGGCCUGCAGUCGAUACGGUCAGACUUGAGUUCGGUAGGGGAGACUGGAAUUCCUGGUGUAGCGGUGAAAUGCGCAGAUAUCAGGAGGAACACCGGUGGCGAAGGCGGGUCUCUGGGCCACUACUGACGCUGAGAAGCGAAAGCGUGGGGAGCGAACAGG